This 546-nucleotide ribosomal RNA is filed under the name Xenophrys mangshanensis (Mangshan horned toad). RNAcentral's name for it is "partial 16S ribosomal RNA". It matches the Rfam family "Bacterial large subunit ribosomal RNA", at positions 1848 to 2610 of the family's 2925-position model. Lineage: Eukaryota; Metazoa; Chordata; Amphibia; Anura; Megophryidae. The record is from RNAcentral.
AUCAUGUAUGCCUGCCCGGUGACCAUGAGUUUAACGGCCGCGGUAUUCUGACCGCGCAAAGGUAGCGUAAUCACUUGUCUUCUAAAUAAAGACUAGUAUGAACGGCCACACGAAGACUUGACUGUCUCCCUAGUCCAAUCAGUGAAACUAAUCUCCUCGUGCAGAAGCGAGAAUACACCCAUUAGACGAGAAGACCCUAUGGAGCUUUAAACUCAAUAUUAAUUAUAUUUAACUCUUCUCUAAGGAACUAACAACUUUUUAAACUUAAUAUUAGUUUUAGGUUGGGGCGACCAUGGAGAAAAAAAUAUCCUCCCUGAUGAUUUUCUAACCAAGAGCUACAGCUCUAAGUAUUAAGACCCUUAACUCCCAUUGACCCAUUUUAUGAUCAACGAACCAAGUUACCCUAGGGAUAACAGCGCAAUCCAUUUCAAGAGUUCCUAUCGACAAAUGGGUUUACGACCUCGAUGUUGGAUCAGGGCAUCCUAGUGGUGCAACCGCUACUAACGGUUCGUUUGUUCAACGAUUAAAGCCCUACGUGAUCUGAGU